AUCGCUUCUCGUCCUUUUGGCUAAAAUCAAAGUGUAGUAUCUGUUCUUAUCUUUAGAACAUACUCACCCCUUCUCGUCCAAUGAAAAGUCAGUUUUUCCCCCUCUAAUUUUCAUAGUACAUGGUUUUCCAUGCACUAUGAAAUGCUAUACAUGAAUGACUUUUCAUUGUCAGUUAAUUAUGAAAGUGA
Mytilus trossulus (common blue mussel) is the source of this 188-nucleotide small nuclear RNA. RefSeq annotates it as U2 spliceosomal RNA. The record is from RefSeq and is a predicted model, not a curated record. The transcript has a single exon. Lineage: Eukaryota; Metazoa; Mollusca; Bivalvia; Mytilida; Mytilidae.